Long non-coding RNA from Varanus komodoensis (Komodo dragon), 627 nucleotides. RefSeq lists it as uncharacterized. The record is from RefSeq and is a predicted model, not a curated record. Lineage: Eukaryota; Metazoa; Chordata; Lepidosauria; Squamata; Varanidae. The transcript has 2 exons.
CAUAUUUUAACAUGUCUAAAAUAAUAAUUACAUAUUUAAAUGUUUAAUACUUGGUAGGUUUCAAAAAUGUUGUCUUUCAUCCAUGUUGUUGUUACUAACAGCAACAGUCCGAUGAUACUUAAAAAUUUGCAACACCUCAUGUAUACGCAACCUGUAAAAGAUCGCAACAUAAUUCCACUGGUUGAUGACAGAAAAGUCCCUGCUGUGUUUUGCUUUUGGGAUUAAAUAUAUUCCAGUGCAAGCGUUGUGGAUAAUGCCUCCCUUUUGACCCAAACCUUAGUUUUGACCCAUCUGUGAUUCUUGAUCAGACAUGUCUGUAGUUGCUGAUGUGCAUAGGAGGGGAAAUCCUUUGUCAAGCAUUUCUGUAUAGGAAAAUGUAUGAUUUCUGAUUUGGUUCUUCCAUGGCUUCCAAUUUUAUCCACGUAAAUUGUUUAGAAAAAGCAGUGCUAUACCAGAGUGACAAACACAAUCAUCAAAAUUGCCAUCGAUGGUUUGCCUGGAAGUGAAAGUGGCAAGGAGCAGGAAGUUGAAUUUUCAAGGAGCAGAACAGCAAUGCAGGAAGAUCAAUGUCUUCUGUGCCCUUAGGUCGUGAUCAAUACUUUUAAUAAAACUUCCUUUUCUACCUUU